AUACGUAGGGUGCAAGCGUUAAUCGGAAUUACUGGGCGUAAAGCGUGCGCAGGCGGUUUUGUAAGACAGAGGUGAAACCCCCGGGCUCAAACUGGGAACUGCCUUUGUGACUGCAAGGCUAGAGUACGGCAGAGGGGGAUGGAAUUCCGCGUGUAGCAGUGACAUGCGUAGAUAUGUGGUGGAACACCGAUGGCGAAGGCAAUUCCCUGGGCCUGUACAGGCGCUCAUGCACGAAAGCGUGGGGAACAAACAGGGUUAUAUACGCUGGUAGGCCACGCCCUAAACGAUGUCAACUGGUUGUUUGGUCUGCAUUGACUCAGUAACUAAGCUAACGCGUGAAGUUGACCGCCUGGGGAGUACGGCCGCAAGGUUGAAACUCAAACGAAUUGACGGGG
This 395-nucleotide ribosomal RNA is filed under the name uncultured bacterium. RNAcentral describes it as "partial 16S ribosomal RNA". It matches the Rfam family "Bacterial small subunit ribosomal RNA", at positions 523 to 918 of the family's 1533-position model. The record is from RNAcentral.